This 408-nucleotide ribosomal RNA is filed under the name uncultured bacterium. RNAcentral describes it as "bacterial SSU rRNA". It matches the Rfam family "Bacterial small subunit ribosomal RNA", at positions 28 to 425 of the family's 1533-position model. The record is from RNAcentral.
GAUGAACGUUAGCGGCGCGCCUAACACAUGCAAGUCGAGCGAGAAGGAAGCAAUUCCUGUAAAGCGGCGCACGGGUGAGUAACACGUAGGUAAUCUACCUCGAAGUGGUGGAUAACCUUCCGAAAGGAGGGCUAAUACAGCAUGAGACCACGGUUUCGAAAGAGAUUGAGGUCAAAGCGGGCCACUAUACAUAAGCUCGCGCUUCGAGAUGAGCCUGCGGCCCAUCAUGGUAGUUGGUAGGGUAAUGGCCUACCAAGCCGAAGACGGGUAGCUGGUCUGAGAGGAUGAUCAGCCACACUGGAACUGAGACACGGUCCAGACUCCUACGGGAGGCAGCAGUGGGGAAUCUUGCGCAAUGGGCGAAAGCCUGACGCAGCGACGCCGCGUGAGUGAUGAAGGCCUCGGUUG